CGAGUCCGAAACUGUUCCAUAUGUACUGUGUUUGCUUCAAUUAUCAGCCGAUUUUAUUUCUAGAGCGUGGAGUCGGAAUAUAGGCAACCAGUCUUACUGCAAACACAACAGCAUUGGAUUUUGAAAAUACACAAAGUGAAUGUGAUGUAUUGCGACUAAGCCUCGGAAAACAAUUAAAAGCGUCGAUUGGGUUAGCGAUGCUUUGAGGUUAUGUUAGUUGUGUUACGCUCUAGCCACUACUACGCGCAGGCGCAGCUCGCUGGAUACGCCCAAAAUCUACACGGGCGGCAAUCGCUCUGACCUGGUUGGCAUGUGCUCCAUUGUGUGGUAAGCGCCGACGCCGACAGUGGCCGUCUGGCCACCGCCUCCGCCUCCUCCCACGGGCGUGGGACACGCGCGCGUUGGAUAGUAGAGCCCGUUGCCGGCGCUACGGGUAUUCCACCGGAAAAAACAAAAACACAUUUGUUUCAAAAAAUGUUUGGGAGUGAUGUCAAUGUGGUUGCCUACAUCGAGCAGCUUGUGUUACCUUAGCAACCUUCACAGCAAAUAAAUAAAGCGCAGAACAAAA
Long non-coding RNA from Dalotia coriaria, 568 nucleotides. RefSeq lists it as uncharacterized. Lineage: Eukaryota; Metazoa; Arthropoda; Insecta; Coleoptera; Staphylinidae. The record is from RefSeq and is a predicted model, not a curated record. The transcript is spliced from 2 exons.